RNAcentral lists this ribosomal RNA (433 nucleotides) under uncultured bacterium. RNAcentral's name for it is "partial 16S ribosomal RNA". It matches the Rfam family "Bacterial small subunit ribosomal RNA", at positions 29 to 507 of the family's 1533-position model. The record is from RNAcentral.
AACGAACGCUGGCGGCAUGCCUAACACAUGCAAGUCGAACGAGACCUCCGGGUCUAGUGGCGCACGGGUGCGUAACGCGUGGGAACCUGCCCUUAGGUUCGGAAUAACUCCCCGAAAGGGGUGCUAAUACCGGAUAAUGUCUUCGGACCAAAGAUUUAUCGCCUUUGGAUGGGCCCGCGUUGGAUUAGCUAGUUGGUAGGGUAAAAGCCUACCAAGGCGACGAUCCAUAGCUGGUCUGAGAGGAUGAUCAGCCACACUGGGACUGAGACACGGCCCAGACUCCUACGGGAGGCAGCAGUGGGGAAUAGUGGACAAUGGGCGAAGGCCUGAUGCAGCAAUGCCGCGUGAGUGAUGAAGGCCUUAGGGUUGUAAAGCUCUUUUACCCGAGAUGAUAAUGACAGUACCGGGAGAAUAAGCUCCGGCUAACUCCGUG